Molecule: long non-coding RNA, 379 nt
Organism: Cimex lectularius (bed bug)
Lineage: Eukaryota; Metazoa; Arthropoda; Insecta; Hemiptera; Cimicidae
Exons: 3
Source: RefSeq, a predicted model, not a curated record
ACAAGAAUGACACAUCUACACGGAAAACAAACACUUUUGAGGACAUUCCAACCGACGGCGUCCGAGGCGUCACUAUGAAAUAGGUUCAACAGAAUAGCGCACAGCACACAUCCCUGUUUGACUCCAAACCCAACAGUGACCUUCUCAGAGCAGAGAGCUAUUUUACAUGAUAAAUUUGGUUCUAUCAAGGGCAUCCAAAAUGACCACGCAUAAUACACAGUCAAUGUUAGAAGCCAUAAAAUUGGAUAACAGGACAUUUGAGCGAAUAGUUGCCAUGUCAAUGCUCUUAACCGUUGCAGCCACCGACGCCCCCAUCUACUUAUAAAAAUAACUUACCCAAGUUUAACUAACAAAAUAAAUUUAAGUAACUAAUUUAUGU